CUUAACCACAAUGUCAAAAACUCAUAACAGAGAGAUACAUACUCAAACCAAAUACUAAUGCCUGUAUAAUAGAGAGAGAAUCGAGGGUGCACCAAUGCAGUGACACAGCUGUGGAAUUUUCAGAGAGAGAGAGAGUUUUUGAUUUUUGAAUGUAACCGUUAAUACAUACAUAGACGUACAUUUUAUGCCAGUAUAAUAUUCUAGAGAGAGAGAGAGAGAGAGAGAGAGAGAGAGAGUUAUGCCAGUAUAAUAUUCUAGAGAGAGAGAGAGAGAGAGAGAGAGAGAGAGAAUAAUAUUGACUAGUGAGACAGGUCUGACAUACAUUUUCUUCCUUCAGAGAGUAAAGGGAAAGCGUUUUGAUUUUUGAAUGUAACAGAGUGUUCUCUCUUUCUAACCAUUGUCUCGUUGUGUUAAAGCUCGAACACUUUCCAAUGGUAAGCUAUUUUGAAAUUUUUGAAAAUCACUAGUCUACUCCAGAUUCUUCUCUGUUCUAUUUACUGGGAUACGUUUGUUACCCGGGGGUUUACAGCUCCACAAGUCAAAAUUCUGGGCUUGCAGUUUUCAGCAAGAUUUUUCGAAGCUCAAUUCUUCAAGUGAAGUGUAACCUAUGUUAGCAAAGAUUUUUAGAAGUUUAAAUCUUUAAAGUAACCCUUUUUAGUGGAAUUUUUUGAGCUUCAAGUCUAUAUUAGGUUGCUUUAUCGGAGAAAACAUGGUUUUACCUUCUUGUUUCUGAGUCUUUAAGGUUGGUUAUAAAUAAGAAUUUAUAUUGUUUCAUCUCAAAAAUUUUUGUGAUAGAAUUCCAAUAGAAGUCUUGUUUACUCAUUAAUAGAAUAUAGUUGUUUGUGAUUGUGAUUUUUUGCUUGCGCAAUGCUGAAGCACUAGUGGUGUGUAGUGCUGGCUGAUAAAGUUCAAUUUUUGAGUGCUUUGAAUGAUAGGCAAAAGACAAACAGAAGAGACUUGAGGCAUUUAUUUUUCUUUCUUUUGAUUUUUUGGGCAUUUUAUAUUUGGAAUAUUCUUUGUUGGGUUUUCGGUCCCACAUCAGAAAUUUGAAUACACUCCAUUUGUGUACAGCUGGAGAUGGAGACCCCAUCUUCUCUUCAAAGCAAAGUCUUUUUUCCCCUAAUACACUGUAUCCACAAGGAUGAAUGGAUGAUGAUCAAAUUGGAUUUUGAAUUUUUUUUUUUUUUUUUUUUUUUCAAAAAUGAGAUUUGUGGGCCAG
Molecule: long non-coding RNA, 1219 nt
Filed under: Olea europaea subsp. europaea
Lineage: Eukaryota; Viridiplantae; Streptophyta; Magnoliopsida; Lamiales; Oleaceae
Source: RNAcentral